Perca flavescens (yellow perch) is the source of this 492-nucleotide long non-coding RNA. RefSeq lists it as uncharacterized. NCBI's taxonomy places the organism in Eukaryota, Metazoa, Chordata, Actinopteri, Perciformes, Percidae. The transcript has 3 exons. The record is from RefSeq and is a predicted model, not a curated record.
UGGAGAUCAGCCACUCAUCACAGAAGUCAUUUCCAGAUGGCCAGCUCUGCUCCAUGAGAGACAGAUUAGGGCAGAGUUCAAGAGAAUUGUCACCACAGACCUUGUGGAAACUUUUCUCGAUGGACUUGAUGGCCUGGUCCCAAGACUGCUGGACUUGUACAAAGCAGCAACCAAGUCUGGAAAGAAGCAAUCACUCAAGGACAUUUUGGACUGCCUUCAGAAAGAUGUAAGUGGAGGAGCAGUUGACCAUAAAAUUAGGCAUAAUUUAUUAUCUUUGAUAUAACAUUUUCAUCUUACUGCAUGUUUGUUUUUGUUGUAGGACACAAAUGAGAGGAGGAGGACUGCUGCUUUGCUUGGUCUGCCGCACUACAUAUCAGGCGAAGAUCCAUCAACUGUCAUCAGGAUGUGUAAUAGAGUGGUGAUGAAGAUAACACCAGACCAAGCAUCUGCCAGAGUACAUGGGCUAAGAAACAGAAUCUUGAGGUACAACAG